This 478-nucleotide ribosomal RNA is filed under the name uncultured bacterium. RNAcentral describes it as "partial 16S ribosomal RNA". It matches the Rfam family "Bacterial small subunit ribosomal RNA", at positions 28 to 523 of the family's 1533-position model. The record is from RNAcentral.
GACGAACGCUGGCGGCGUGCUUAACACAUGCAAGUCGAACGGUAAGGCCCUUCGGGGUACACGAGUGGCGAGCGGGUGAGUAACACGUGGGUGAUCUGCCCUGCACUUCGGGAUAAGCCUGGGAAACUGGGUCUAAUACCGGAUAGGACCACUGCCUGCAUGGGUGGUGGUGGAAAGCUUUUGCGGUGUGGGAUGGGCCCGCGGCCUAUCAGCUUGUUGGUGGGGUGAUGGCCUACCAAGGCGACGACGGGUAGCCGGCCUGAGAGGGUGACCGGCCACACUGGGACUGAGAUACAGCCCAGACUCCUACGGGAGGCAGCAGUGGGGAAUAUUGCACAAUGGGCGCAAGCCUGAUGCAGCGACGCCGCGUGAGGGAUGACGGCCUUCGGGUUGUAAACCUCUUUCAGCACCGACGAAGCGCAAGUGACGGUAGGUGCAGAAGAAGGACCGGCCAACUACGUGCCAGCAGCCGCGGUAA